CUCACUCCUAGUGCUCUUAUAGAUUCAUAGAUUCAUAGAUGUUAGGGUCGGAAGGGACCUCAAUAGAUCAUCGAGUCCGACCCCCCUUUCUCUGUGCAAGGCUGCCGUUGCCUGACGGUUGUACCGUCACUUCUGGCCUCAUUGUGCAGUCCUUUGAGACUGCUCCGAUACGCCCCGGCAGUGCCAGCCCUCCAGGAAAUCAGCAUCCGUUCUCGCUCCUUAGCAAGAGCAUGCAGCGUAUUUCAUCUGUGCAGAGCUGUGCUACACAGCUCGGAUAAAAUCCCGGGUAGGGUGGAGUUUAGACCACCUCUCCUUAAAAGUAGCAAUGGCAUCAGGGCAAAAAGGUGCUCCACGAGGCCUUUACAUGGCAGAGUUUUUGAUGCACUGAUGAAAAGGGCCUGAUUGACAGCCCUGGAGAGAGACUUGGGCACCCCGCAAUGGUACAAACCUCCACCAACGCAGUUCAACCCCGGUGUUUGGUGGUGUGAGGGUUGUCCUCGCUCCUUAAGGAUGGAGGAUCACCAUGGAAAGGCCUUUUGGUCAUUGCUGGCUGCUGAGAUUCCCUGCGAGCGGGGCCAGCCUGCGGUGCGCGGGGCCCUGCUGCGUCUCUCCGAGGCCGCCUCGGUUCCUUGGCUUUUAUGGUAAGUUUUGGUUGCUGCACUUGACAAACCAAAUGUUUGGCUUUUCCUUCAGCCCCUGCUACACCGGGAGGGGCAAAGAGAGUCCCACCACUGAACGCUCGAACCGGGGCUCCGGCAGCAUCGCCUGGCUUGCCUCGGCAAGGGUUGAAGCUUUCGUACGGUGAGCGCAUGAAUUGUGCACGUGGCUGCAGGUGAAGCUCCCUGAGCUUCCCAAGAGGUGUGCAAGGCUUGGUCAGCCCGCCCGGGCUGCAGUCAUUGCAAUCUGUGAACCGGCUAGGAAAGGAAUUUGAUUUUCCAUGUAAACGGGUUAAAAAAAAAAACCCCAAAACAACAGGCUUGGUUUCAGGAAGAGAGAUCCUCGCCCUAUUGAAGUCAAUGGGUUGCAUUACAGACACGUUUUGCCGUUGACUUCAAGAAAGUCAUAAUGUGACCUGUCGUGCCUCAGUCUUCCCUUCUGUGAAAUGGGGUUAAUGCUGGCAUCCAUCACAAGGGCGCUAUGAAAAUGAUUUAAUUAAUGACCAUUAAUUGCUCAGGGGUUCUGGUGACGGAGCCAUGCAGCUACUUAGAUGGUGAGCUACAACCUGCUACCCGCUUCCCUCACCACAGACACAAUCUUUUUCCAUUUCAGAUGAAAUCCCUCAGUAUAUCUGCAGCUGGUAGCAUCGGUGGCAUCCCUUUCUUCCCCAGGGAGCACCCUGACUCCUGGUGGCCCCAGGCAAACUUGUAGUAUCAGGCCCCCUUCACCAAAAAUAAUGAUAAUAAUAAUCCAAAAAUGACCCCUUUCUGUCCGGUUCGCCCAUGCCUGUGUCUGGCCCCUGCUUCAUGUUUGCUGCAGUUGGUGGGAUUUUGUCGUGCCGCUCGCAUUGCUUAAAUGCAGAUUUCCUCUCUCCCUCCCACCCCUCCGAGUACAGCUCACAAGCCCGUUUCCUUCCCAGUAGCUGCGGGUGGGUCUGAUUGCACGUUUCUGGGGCUUUGCCUUGUGCGUAAAUGUUGCUGAAACAAUUACACUAAAAUCACACCACCUGCAAGCAGUUAGUUAGAAUAAUAAAUAAGUGAUAGAUUAUCAAAUAAAGUGCUCACUUCAGAUGAGGUCAUUAUGGCACCGUGUCGUGGGUCUCCGAGGGAUUGGAGCCUGCUUUCCUGCUGCCGAUCGGCUAAAUGGCUCUUGUAUCAGUCAAUGAAAAAGUUGUAGAGAUUAAAGAAUCAAUUAGGCAUUAGCUAAAGGGCAAAAGCAUAACCCAAACAUGCUGAUAAAAUCCAACAGGUCAUUAUGGAAUGGGUCCUAUUUCAUUUUACUUUGAAAAGGAAUAAUUGCUCAUUAUAAAGCAUGAAGUGACCUGGACUUGAUACUUUGCCCAUUUUGUGGAGAGCUGGGUCUAAAUGUUAGCACUCUGCUGGUGGAAAUAGAUAGAUCCUGUGUGUUUUAGGGCUUGGUUUUCAUUGUUAUUUGGGUCCGUUUUUCUCUCUUUACCCAGUCUUGACUUCCUGCGUAAAGAAAGACAGCAGAAUCUGAUUCAUAAAAGGCCGGUGCAUUUAACUAUUUGUCGUGGCAUCACUCAGUGACCCACGCAGUGCCCGGCAUGCCCCGUUGUAUAGGUGCUGUACAUACUCGUAGGAAGAUGUGGUUACCACCCAGAGAAGGAAGGAAAGUGUAAGAAGUAAUAGGAGGAAGAGAAAGGCAAGCACCCAUUGGGGUUAGGGACUGAACCCCAUUUUCCUUGUUCUGCUACAUCCUUCUGGGAUGACCUUGGUCAUGUCACUUAAGCUCCAGAUACUGGAAGGUAUCUCAGUACCUAACUGCUGAAUUGCUGAAACUUAAGCAGCUAGUUGCCUAUGAGGGUCUGGCCUUGGUCUCUCUGGGCUUCAAUUCCCCAUCUAGAGAACAAUGAUGCCACUUCUUUGUUGCCAGCGUUUGUCCAUCUGGUCUCUAUAGGCGAGUAGCUCUCCAACGCAGGGACUGAGUCUCGCAAGGUCUCUAAACAGAAGAGAGUCCCCAGUAGAGGGCAUGUAGUGGAAAUAAUGAAGUAUAACGUGCUAAUUGCUAUGUGGGUUUGCAAAAUGAUUACAAAGCCCAUUCACAGGAGCACGAGACUGGAAGGGGUUUCAGAGCUUCAAGUCUAGUCCUCGGUGCUGGAAAUCAACUGCUGGGUCGAAGGAUCUCCAGGCUUGUCUGCUCUGACCCCCCGUCUCACCCCACAACCACGGAAACCCCUGGGUGUGCUACAGGCAAGAAGCAGUGGAGGAAGGGAUGGCGACCCUGCGUGAUGGGCAUCUCGUGUCCAUGAUGAUGACUGGAAGGAACAAUAUUCCAGCUAGUUUCUCUAUCCAGAUGCAAGGAGCAAGGCUACUUCUUAUCUACCCAUGUCUUACACUGCUCUAAAUCAGCCUCCCGGAGAUGACUGGAGUUAAAGAGGAAAGUUGAGAAGAGGAUCAUAGAAAAUUUGGGUGAACGUGUCAUUCAGGGUCUUGAUCGUCUACCCCCGUCAUCCUGAACCUGCUCGACUCCAGACACGUCAGGGGGUCACAUCUAAUGCAACCCCCCUGCUCCAAGCAGGACCGGCCCCAACUACAUCAUCCCAGCCAAGGCUUUGUCUAUGUAUAAUGCAGAUAAAGAAUAUGUUAUGGCUGCUGUUGGUUUAAGCGUUAAUAUUAAUCACUUCAGUGCUGCAAUAUUUAACCCGGCGCUUGAGCUGCAUGGUGUGGGGUUGCCCUUGGGCAGAACAGGAGCCCGGCUUUGUUUGGGGCACUUUUCUAGCAAAACGACAAAACUUCAUGCUGUAACAUUCAGCAAAAUGGUUUGCAACUGGGGAAAACGUUUGAGGUUUGGGCUCAUUUGGAGUCUGGCACGCAGACCCGCUGGGGAGAGGCAACCGCUGCUUUUUCCUGUGGGCUGGAGACGAGGAACCAGCCUGUGAGAGCCGCCGUCUGCCCUGUUUAUGAAGCAUCGCUGCUGCUUUAAUUCUCCCAGCUAGGUACCGAAGUCUGUGCUUCUUCCAGCCAAGGCAUUCCCAGCUGCCUUGCUCGGGCUGCGCUGGCUGAUGUGAAUGCUUAUAUAUCCUUCACAAAGCAUUAUUUUUAUGGUGUGCGUAUAAAGAGCACGCGGGGUGUGCACAACGGCUCGCAGAACGUACAUCACUCUUGCACUGGAAGCAGCUUUCAGCCGGUGCAGCGAGGCUGGGGAACGAGCUGUUUAUUGCUCCGUGCCCUCGGUGUGAUGGCCCUGUACAUGCAUGUGUGGGUGGGGAGGCCUGAGAAUUCAUGUUCUUAUUUUUUUCCCACUCCUUGCAGGUCAUAUACCACCGGAUCGGGCUGCCGCUGUGGUUGCCAUCGCUGUUCUUUAUGCUGCUUCGAGAAACACGUUCAGAAAGUUUCCUUUUGCUGGCUCAAGGAGUCAGAACUCAUGGCAAAGGGAGACUGGCUCGGGGAGCCACUUGAAGGAGGGGAUGAAAGACGAGUCCAAGCCACCGCACACUCCUCCUUCGAGAGGUGAAGCCACGCGAGGGGUUCAGACCGGUCUUCCCUUCGUCUCCGGAGGACCAGCUGCUUUCCAGUCCAGCAAAGACAAACAGGUCAAGACCGGACGAGAGAACUAAGGUCGCCUUUCAGACAGCCAGGUGGGCGACUGGUCCCGGUUCGGGUCUGGAGUCGAGAAUAAACGGGCCCGGAGAUACCCAGCUGGCUCUUUCCCAAGCGUGCGAGGGAAGGAAAUGGAGGGAGAUGCGGGUUUUAUGGAUAGAGAAAACAAACGAGAUGCUUUGGCAAAAACAAUGCAUUUCCGAGCUGAUUUUCUUUCUAUGGGAUGCUCUGUCUUUCCUGUUUACUUGUUAUUUUGGAAAUAGAACAAUAAAUAAUUUACUGCUGAUUGGUUGGCAAGGG
Molecule: long non-coding RNA, 4517 nt
Organism: Alligator mississippiensis (American alligator)
Lineage: Eukaryota; Metazoa; Chordata; Crocodylia; Alligatoridae
Exons: 4
Source: RefSeq, a predicted model, not a curated record